AGAAUCAAUGCUGGCGGCGUGCCUAACACAUGCAAGUCGAACGAGAAAGUGGAGCAAUCCAUGAGUAAAGUGGCGCACGGGUGAGUAACACGUGACUAACCUACCCUUGAGUGGGGGAUAACCUCGGGAAACCGGGGCUAAUACCGCAUAAUAUCGAGAGAUCAAAGGAGCAAUUCGCUUAAGGAGGGGGUCGCGGCUGAUUAGCUAGUUGGUAGGGUAAUGGCCUACCAAGGCUAUGAUCAGUAUCCGGCCUGAGAGGGCGCACGGACACACUGGAACUGAAACACGGUCCAGACUCCUACGGGAGGCAGCAGUGGGGAAUUUUGCGCAAUGGGGGAAACCCUGACGCAGCAACGCCGCGUGGAGGAUGAAGUCCCUUGGGACGUAAACUCCUUUCGAUCGGGACGAUAAUGACGGUACCGGAAGAAGAAGCCCGGCUAACUUCGCGCCAGCAGCCGC
RNAcentral lists this ribosomal RNA (459 nucleotides) under uncultured bacterium. Its description in RNAcentral is "SSU rRNA". It matches the Rfam family "Bacterial small subunit ribosomal RNA", at positions 26 to 518 of the family's 1533-position model. The record is from RNAcentral.